This 253-nucleotide ribosomal RNA is filed under the name uncultured bacterium. RNAcentral describes it as "partial 16S ribosomal RNA". It matches the Rfam family "Bacterial small subunit ribosomal RNA", at positions 524 to 776 of the family's 1533-position model. The record is from RNAcentral.
UACGGAGGGAGCUAGCGUUGUUCGGAUAUACUGGGCGUAAAGCGCACGUAGGCGGCGUCGUAAGUCAGGGGUGAAAUCCCGGAGCUCAACUCCGGAACUGCCCUUGAAACUGCAAUGCUAGAAUCUUGGAGAGGCGAGUGGAAUUCCGAGUGUAGAGGUGAAAUUCGUAGAUAUUCGGAAGAACACCAGUGGCGAAGGCGACUCACUGGACACAUAUUGACGCUGAGGUGCGAAAGCGUGGGGAGCAAACAGG